This 460-nucleotide ribosomal RNA is filed under the name uncultured bacterium. RNAcentral describes it as "partial 16S ribosomal RNA". It matches the Rfam family "Bacterial small subunit ribosomal RNA", at positions 338 to 795 of the family's 1533-position model. The record is from RNAcentral.
CCUACGUGCGACUGCAGUGAGGAAUAUUGGUCAAUGGACGAGAGUCUGAACCAGCCAUGUAGCGUGCAGGAAGACUGCCCUAUGAGUUGUAAACUUCUUUUGUAUAAGGAUAAAACUGUCAACGUGUAUGAUUUUGUAAUUACCAUAUGAAUAAGGAGCGGCUAACUCCGUGCCAGCAGCCGCGGUAAUACGGAGGAUCCAAGCUUUAUCCGGAUUUAUUGGGUUUAAAGGGUGCGUAGGUGGAUUGUUAAGUCAGUUGUGAAAGUUUGCGGCUUAACCCGAAAAGUGCAGUUGAUACUGGUGAUCUAGAGAGUAGUAGCGGUAGGCGGAAUUCGUGGUGUAGCGGUGAAAUGCUUAGAGAUCAUAAAGAACUCCGAUUGCGAAGGCAGUUUACUAGUCUCCAUCUGACACUGAGGCUCGAAAGUGUGGGGAGCAAACAGGAGUAGAUACCCUAGUAGUC